This 332-nucleotide ribosomal RNA is filed under the name Echinarmadillidium fruxgalii. RNAcentral's name for it is "partial large subunit ribosomal RNA". The record is from RNAcentral. Lineage: Eukaryota; Metazoa; Arthropoda; Malacostraca; Isopoda; Armadillidiidae.
AGGUAGCAUAAUAGUUUGUUAUUUAAUUGAUAACUAGAAUGAAUGGUCUGACAAAAAAUUAGCUUUAUUUCUUCUCUACGAAAUUAAUAUUAAAAUAAAAAAGUUUUAUUAAUCUAGGAAGACGACAAGACCCUUAAACCUUAAUAUAUUAUAUUUUACUGGGGCGGUAGUUUACAAACCAUAAACUAUUUUCACAUACUGAAUGAUAUUUAUUAACUUGUUAAAAUCAAAAAGGUACUUUAGGGAUAACAGCAUAAUUUUUAUGUAGAGCUCUUAUCAAUAUAAAAGAUUAUGACCUCGAUGUUGAAUUGAUAUAACUUUAAUAAGCAAAA